GAUGAACGCUGGCGGCGUGCCUAAUACAUGCAAGUCGAACGAACUUCCGUUAAUUGAUCAUGACGUGCUUGCACUGAAUGAGAUUUUAACACGAAGUGAGUGGCGGACGGGUGAGUAACACGUGGGUAACCUGCCCAGAAGCAGGGGAUAACACCUGGAAACAGAUGCUAAUACCGUAUAACAGAGAAAACCGCCUGGUUUUCUUUUAAAAGAUGGCUCUGCUAUCACUUCUGGAUGGACCCGCGGCGCAUUAGCUAGUUGGUGAGGUAACGGCUCACCAAGGCGAUGAUGCGUAGCCGACCUGAGAGGGUAAUCGGCCACAUUGGGACUGAGACACGGCCCAGACUCCUACGGGAGGCAGCAGUAGGGAAUCUUCCACAAUGGACGCAAGUCUGAUGGAGCAACGCCGCGUGAGUGAAGAAGGGUUUCGGCUCGUAAAGCUCUGUUGUUAAAGAAGAACGUGGGUGAGAGUAACUGUUCACCCAGUGACGGUAUUUAACCAGAAAGCCACGGCUAACUACGUGCCAGCAGCCGCGGUAAUACGUAGGUGGCAAGCGUUAUCCGGAUUUAUUGGGCGUAAAGCGAGCGCAGGCGGUCUUUUAAGUCUAAUGUGAAAGCCUUCGGCUCAACCGAAGAAGUGCAUUGGAAACUGGGAGACUUGAGUGCAGAAGAGGACAGUGGAACUCCAUGUGUAGCGGUGAAAUGCGUAGAUAUAUGGAAGAACACCAGUGGCGAAGGCGGCUGUCUGGUCUGUAACUGACGCUGAGGCUCGAAAGCAUGGGUAGCGAACAGGAUUAGAUACCCUGGUAGUCCAUGCCGUAAACGAUGAUUACUAAGUGUUGGAGGGUUUCCGCCCUUCAGUGCUGCAGCUAACGCAUUAAGUAAUCCGCCUGGGGAGUACGACCGCAAGGUUGAAACUCAAAAGAAUUGACGGGGGCCCGCACAAGCGGUGGAGCAUGUGGUUUAAUUCGAAGCUACGCGAAGAACCUUACCAGGUCUUGACAUCUUCUGCCAACCUAAGAGAUUAGGCGUUCCCUUCGGGGACAGAAUGACAGGUGGUGCAUGGUUGUCGUCAGCUCGUGUCGUGAGAUGUUGGGUUAAGUCCCGCAACGAGCGCAACCCUUAUUACUAGUUGCCAGCAUUCAGUUGGGCACUCUAGUGAGACUGCCGGUGACAAACCGGAGGAAGGUGGGGACGACGUCAAAUCAUCAUGCCCCUUAUGACCUGGGCUACACACGUGCUACAAUGGAUGGUACAACGAGUCGCGAAACCGCGAGGUUUAGCUAAUC
RNAcentral lists this ribosomal RNA (1289 nucleotides) under Pediococcus acidilactici. Its description in RNAcentral is "bacterial SSU rRNA". It matches the Rfam family "Bacterial small subunit ribosomal RNA", at positions 28 to 1273 of the family's 1533-position model. Lineage: Bacteria; Bacillati; Bacillota; Bacilli; Lactobacillales; Lactobacillaceae. The record is from RNAcentral.